AUGAACUCUUGAUUCUGAUUCAAUGCAUGAGGAUUAGUAUUCAGUUAUUAUACCUUACUUAUCUUACUGGUGAGAAACAAAUUUUGGUGAAGCUACGUUUAUAAUACUGGCAUCGUGCCUGCAACUAUGGUUGUAAUGGACAUAUUGAACCUUUCCUCCUUUAUCAUAAUCUUGAUAACAUCAUCUUUUAGAUGAA
Telopea speciosissima is the source of this 196-nucleotide long non-coding RNA. RefSeq lists it as uncharacterized. Lineage: Eukaryota; Viridiplantae; Streptophyta; Magnoliopsida; Proteales; Proteaceae. The transcript is spliced from 2 exons. The record is from RefSeq and is a predicted model, not a curated record.